GUUUGACUAACCAAGCUGUAUUAUAGAGUCACAGAAUCACAGAAUGGUGUAGUUUGGAAGGGACUUCUGAAGGUCAUCUGGUCCUCUGGAGGUCAUCCAGUCCAACCACCAACCUGUUAUUAUGGAGAACUGUGUUUUCAGUCUUGUGUUUAUAUUACUCAACUUCAAUACUUUGUAGUGGACUAUUUAAGAGAUCAAAAUUUUUCUAUAUGAGAAGAUCUAGAUUUCAAGUUCUUAUUCUGCUUGGAUCAGUGGCAAACUUCCUCUGAGUUCAGGAAAUCCAGAUACGCACCUGGGCUAAACAAAAGGAAUUCCAUUGGUAUCAGGAAUGCUCUUUUAAUUUAGGGAUGUGAGGAUCUGGGCCCAAGGUCAUUUAUUAAUUGAAUAUGGAAGACACUGGAGUAGUUUAAGGGUUCUAAUGACAAUACGAUUAUCUGCAGUGGAAACAUUUGUUGGUGUUUUCUUUUUUGCUCUCUUUCAAGCAUGUGUGGGGGAGUGGGUAUAUUGCAUUAGAAAGUAUUCCUGAUGACAAAUACUUUGGAGCAAGGAGAUGAAGCAAUUACAGUAGAUGGGAGCCUGAUGGGUGGGAAUGGGGGAGGGGGUAUUCACUCUGGGUCUACAGUUUCUGUAAGAGUUUAGGACAGUUUUCACAUAUUUAUCCAAGAUGGCCUUUGAAGUGUCUUGUGGUAAACAGUUGGAGGUCUUCUGUCACUGAGAGUGUCAAGGGGCCUUGAAGAUUUAUAACACAUCUUUUCCAGCAGAAUGUAAUUGCUGAUACAGGAGAGAGGCUGAAACAGUUCUUUAAAUGCAGACCAAAUUUUGCUUUUUCACUAUUGUACUGAGAACUGAAAAUGGCAGUAGUGGCACAUUCCUUCCACUGGUUGAAUGGGAUGUGUAAACUACUGUCCACUUUCUUUAACCAUAAGUUUCUCGGAGAUAAAAUACUCUAUCAUGUCUCUUAGGUUCAAUGCUCAGCAACUGGCAAUGCAUUCAUGUCAGAUAUCCACAAGAGACCUAGCUUUAUUAACCUUGUUAUCUACAUUAGCCCCAAGAAAGGACUCAAGACCAGAAUUUCCCAUGUGUUAAUUGUCUACAGCAGCACCCUCUGGGCCAGUUCAGAGGUCUCAAAAAUCAUGAAGAAUCUGAACAUAGCACAAAGGCCCUCAUAUAUUGUUAACAAGAUGGAAACAAUCACACCUCAGAUGUGAGAAAAAAUCAAGGAUCUCAUUAUGUUCAAAUAAAGGAACAGAAUAAGCACCA
This 1260-nucleotide long non-coding RNA is filed under the name Anser cygnoides (Swan goose). RNAcentral's name for it is "lncRNA (ENSACDG00005005507.1)". Lineage: Eukaryota; Metazoa; Chordata; Aves; Anseriformes; Anatidae. The record is from RNAcentral.